Molecule: ribosomal RNA, 468 nt
Filed under: uncultured bacterium
Lineage: Bacteria
Description: partial 16S ribosomal RNA
Rfam family: Bacterial small subunit ribosomal RNA
Source: RNAcentral
GACGAACGCUGGCGGCGUGCUUAACACAUGCAAGUCGAACGGAAAGGCCCUGCUUUUGUGGGGUGCUCGAGUGGCGAACGGGUGAGUAACACGUGAGUAACCUGCCCUUGACUUUGGGAUAACUUCAGGAAACUGGGGCUAAUACCGGAUAGGAGCUCCUGCUGCAUGGUGGGGGUUGGAAAGUUUCGGCGGUUGGGGAUGGACUCGCGGCUUAUCAGCUUGUUGGUGGGGUAGUGGCUUACCAAGGCUUUGACGGGUAGCCGGCCUGUGAGGGUGACCGGCCACAAUGGGACUGAGAUACGGACCAGAGUCCUACGGGAGGCAGCAGUGGGGAAUAUUGCACAAUGGGCGGGAGCCUGAUGCAGAAACGCCGCGUGCGGGAUGACGGCCUUCGGGUUGUAAACCGCUUUAGCCUGUGACGAAGCGUGAGUGACGGUAAUGGGUAAAGAAGCACCGGCUAACUACGUG